RNAcentral lists this ribosomal RNA (503 nucleotides) under uncultured bacterium. RNAcentral describes it as "partial 16S ribosomal RNA". It matches the Rfam family "Bacterial small subunit ribosomal RNA", at positions 30 to 523 of the family's 1533-position model. The record is from RNAcentral.
AUUGAACGCCGGCGGCAGGCUCAACACAUGCAAGUCGAGCGGGGUGCUGGUGCUUGCACUCUCACUUAGCGGCGGACGGGUGAGUAAUGCUUAGGAAUCUGCCUAUUAGCGGGGGACAUCACCUCGAAAGGGAUCGUAAUACAGCAUACGUUCUCGUGGAGAAAGCCGGGGAUGACUGGUGACCUUCCGCUAACAGAUGAGCCUAAGUCGGAGUAGCUAGUUGGUGGGGUAAAGGCCUACCAAGGCGACGUUCUGUAGCGGGUCUGAGAGGAUGAUCCGCCACACUGGGACUGAGACACGGCCCAGACUCCUACGGGAGGCAGCAGUGGGGAAUAGUGGACGAUGGGGGGGACGCUGAUCCAGCCAUGCCGCGUGUGUGAAGAAGGCCUUAUGGUUGUAAAGCACUUUAAGCGAGGAGGAGGCUCUUUUGGUUAAUACCCAAGAUGAGUGGACGUUACUCGCAGAAUAAGCACCGGCUAACUCUGUGCCAGCCGCCGCCGUAA